UAUAGGGUCGAGGAGUGUAUCUGUAAAAAAAUCAUCAAAAUCGGAGCUAAAAUAACAGUUAAAUUGUGAUUUUUCGUUUAUAACCGUCGAUAACUUUUGUUCCGUUACGUAAUAUUUGAAUGUUUGUUUUUUUACAAUUUUUUACGUAUGUAAUCUUGGAAUGUGUACAAAUAAGUUUGACGGUUGGAUCGUUGAAAAAAGCUUGUCAUUA
Molecule: long non-coding RNA, 211 nt
Filed under: Malus domestica (apple)
Lineage: Eukaryota; Viridiplantae; Streptophyta; Magnoliopsida; Rosales; Rosaceae
Description: long non-coding RNA (MDOM_LNC005811)
Source: RNAcentral